GAGGAUGUAGCUCAGUUUGGUAGAGCACCAGGUUGUGGCCCUGGGUGUCGCGGGUUCGAUCCCCGUCAUUCUCCCCA
This 77-nucleotide transfer RNA is filed under the name Deltaproteobacteria bacterium. Its description in RNAcentral is "tRNA-His". It matches the Rfam family "tRNA". Rfam says of the family: Transfer RNA (tRNA) molecules are approximately 80 nucleotides in length. Their secondary structure includes four short double-helical elements and three loops (D, anti-codon, and T loops). Lineage: Bacteria; Pseudomonadati; Myxococcota; Myxococcia. The record is from RNAcentral. RNAcentral also lists the same sequence under 1 other name.